GGCGCGAUAACAAAGCGGUUAUGUAACGGAUUGCAAAUCCGUCUAGCCCGGUUCGACUCCGGGUCGCGCCUCCA
Molecule: transfer RNA, 74 nt
Filed under: Rhodoferax koreensis
Lineage: Bacteria; Pseudomonadati; Pseudomonadota; Betaproteobacteria; Burkholderiales; Comamonadaceae
Description: Rhodoferax koreense tRNA-Cys
Rfam family: tRNA
About the family: Transfer RNA (tRNA) molecules are approximately 80 nucleotides in length. Their secondary structure includes four short double-helical elements and three loops (D, anti-codon, and T loops). Further hydrogen bonds mediate the characteristic L-shaped molecular structure. tRNAs have two regions of fundamental functional importance: the anti-codon, which is responsible for specific mRNA codon recognition, and the 3' end, to which the tRNAs corresponding amino acid is attached (by aminoacyl-tRNA synthetases). tRNAs cope with the degeneracy of the genetic code in two manners: having more than one tRNA (with a specific anti-codon) for a particular amino acid; and 'wobble' base-pairing, i.e. permitting non-standard base-pairing at the 3rd anti-codon position.
Source: RNAcentral